GCACUUGCUUUGACAGUACAUAUACUAAAAUUGGAACGAUACAGAGAAGAUUGGCAUGGCCCUCAUGCAAGGAUGACAUGAAAAUUUGAGAAGCAUUCCAUAUUUUC
Loxodonta africana (African savanna elephant) is the source of this 107-nucleotide small nuclear RNA. NCBI's taxonomy places the organism in Eukaryota, Metazoa, Chordata, Mammalia, Proboscidea, Elephantidae. The record is from Ensembl.